GACGAACGCUGGCGGCGUGCUUAACACAUGCAAGUCGAACGAUGACGACCGAGCUUGCUCGGUCUGAUUAGUGGCGAACGGGUGAGUAACACGUGAGCAACCUGCCCUUCACUCUGGGAUAACCUCGGGAAAUCGGGGCUAAUGCCGGAUAUGAGCUCCUGUCGCAUGGCGGGUGUUGGAAAGUUUUUCGGUGAAGGAUGGGCUCGCGGCCUAUCAGUUUGUUGGUGAGGUAGUGGCUCACCAAGGCGAUGACGGGUAGCCGGCCUGAGAGGGCGACCGGCCACACGGGGACUGAGACACGGCCAAGACUCCUACGGGAGGCAGCAGGGGGGAAUAGUGCACAAUGGGCGAAAGCCUGAUGCAGCGACGCCGCGUGAGGGAUGACGGCCUUCGGGUUGUAAACCUCUUUCAGCAGGGAAGAAGCGAAAGUGACGGUACCUGCAGAAGAAGCGCCGGCUAACUACG
RNAcentral lists this ribosomal RNA (465 nucleotides) under uncultured bacterium. RNAcentral describes it as "partial 16S ribosomal RNA". It matches the Rfam family "Bacterial small subunit ribosomal RNA", at positions 28 to 505 of the family's 1533-position model. The record is from RNAcentral.